UUAUAUGCCAAUGCAACUGAAAAUACUCAACUAAAGGCCAUUGGUUUUGGUCUUUCUAUUUUCUUUGAACCUGGUCAUAGAUUUGGUGAAAUAGUAGGAAGUCCAUAUUACAUGGCUCCGGAAGUUCUUAGACGAAAUUAUGGAGAAGAAGUUGAUAUUUGGAGUGCUGGCGUUAUACUUUUACAUUUUGUUAUGUGGUGUUCCCCCUUUUUGGGCAGGGUGUGAUUAGCACAGAAACUGAAGAAGGGAUUGCACAUGCAAUAGUGAAGGGAACAAUAGAUUUUAACAGAUAUCCAUGGCCAAGAGUAUUUGAUAAAGCUAAGGACCUUGUCAAAGGAAUGCUUGAUGCUAAUCCUUAUAACAAAUUUACUGUUG
Capsicum annuum is the source of this 375-nucleotide long non-coding RNA. RefSeq lists it as uncharacterized. Lineage: Eukaryota; Viridiplantae; Streptophyta; Magnoliopsida; Solanales; Solanaceae. The transcript has 3 exons. The record is from RefSeq and is a predicted model, not a curated record.